Molecule: non-coding RNA, 24 nt
Filed under: Arabidopsis thaliana (thale cress)
Lineage: Eukaryota; Viridiplantae; Streptophyta; Magnoliopsida; Brassicales; Brassicaceae
Source: RNAcentral
AAAGCACACAUCUUCGUAGCCGCC